CUGAGUGCCGGUCCCUCGUGGACCGAACCUCCCACCCUUGUCUCUUGUAUACCCUGUUGCUUUGGCGGGCCCACCGGGAAUCCCCCGGUCGCCGAGGGGCACUGCGCCCCUGGGCCCGUGCCCGCCAGAGCGCCCGUGAACCCUCAUGAAGAUGGACUGUCUGAGCAUGAUUGAUAAUAAUCA
This 183-nucleotide unclassified non-coding RNA is filed under the name uncultured Penicillium. RNAcentral describes it as "sequence contains ITS1". Lineage: Eukaryota; Fungi; Ascomycota; Eurotiomycetes; Eurotiales; Aspergillaceae. The record is from RNAcentral.